This 292-nucleotide ribosomal RNA is filed under the name uncultured bacterium. RNAcentral's name for it is "partial 16S ribosomal RNA". It matches the Rfam family "Bacterial small subunit ribosomal RNA", at positions 505 to 796 of the family's 1533-position model. The record is from RNAcentral.
GUGCCAGCCGCCGCGGUAAUACGGAGGGUGCAAGCGUUAUCCGGAUUCACUGGGUUUAAAGGGUGCGUAGGCGGGCAGGUAAGUCAGUGGUGAAAUCUCCGGGCUUAACCCGGAAACUGCCGUUGAUACUAUCUGUCUUGAAUAUCGUGGAGGUAAGCGGAAUAUGUCAUGUAGCGGUGAAAUGCUUAGAUAUGACAUAGAACACCCAUUGCGAAGGCAGCUUACUACACGAUCAUUGACGCUGAGGCACGAAAGCGUGGGGAGCAAACAGGAUUAGAUACCCCUGUAGUCC